UGGAGUCGUUGUUGAAAUACCACUCUGAUCGGAUUGAGCAUCUAACCUUGGCCCAUGAUCUGGGUUGGGGACAGUGCCUGGUGGGUAGUUUAACUGGGGCGGUUGCCUCCCAAAAUGUAACGGAGGCGCCCAAAGGUUCCCUCAGCCUGGUUGGCAAUCAGGUGGUGAGUGUAAGUGCACAAGGGAGCUUGACUGUGAGACAGACAUGUCGAGCAGGGACGAAAGUCGGAACUAGUGAUCCGGCACCACCAUGUGGAAGGGGUGUCGCUCAACGGAUAAAAGGUACCCCGGGGAUAACAGGCUGAUCUUCCCCAAGAGUCCAUAUCGACGGGAUGGUUUGGCACCUCGAUGUCGGCUCGUCGCAUCCUGGGGCUGGAGUAGGUCCCAAGGG
This 391-nucleotide ribosomal RNA is filed under the name Anophryoides haemophila. RNAcentral's name for it is "partial Bacterial large subunit ribosomal RNA". It matches the Rfam family "Bacterial large subunit ribosomal RNA", at positions 2181 to 2571 of the family's 2925-position model. Lineage: Eukaryota; Ciliophora; Oligohymenophorea; Philasterida; Glauconematidae. The record is from RNAcentral.